GCAAACUUGGUCAUUUAGAGGAAGUAAAAGUCGUAACAAGGUAACCGUAGGUGAACCUGCGGUUGGAUCAUUACUGAAAACGAUUCUCCGCCCCCCUCUUCAUUCGUUCGUUCGUUCGUUCGUUCUUUCGUCGUUCUUUCUUUCAAUUGGAGGGGGGGUGUCGGUUUCAAUCAACCCAUUGUGAACUGUUCUUGUCUCUGGCGGCGGGGUGGGGGCCCAAAGUGGGUGUGGGAAGUGUGUGUUUGCAACGCCAGCAACGACACUUCUGCACCUUCUCCUCACCUGUCAGCCUGGGGGGCUCCUCUACCCGGAGCUCUCCUCGCCGUGGACAAACCGCCAACCGUGUUCCAAACACCUUUUUUUUUGUUGUCGUCUUAAAUCAUAUCUGUUAUAUCAAAUACAGAAACAACUUUUGGCAACGGAUCUCUUGGCUCUCGCAUCGAUGAAGAACGCAGC
This 456-nucleotide unclassified non-coding RNA is filed under the name uncultured fungus. Its description in RNAcentral is "partial contains small subunit ribosomal RNA, internal transcribed spacer 1, and 5.8S ribosomal RNA". The stretch from base 1 to 73 matches the Rfam family "Eukaryotic small subunit ribosomal RNA", at positions 1759 to 1831 of the family's 1831-position model. Lineage: Eukaryota; Fungi. The record is from RNAcentral.